CGGUUGCUGCCGUUGCUCCAAACGACACAGAAAUCUUCACGCAUGUAAGUUUGUGCUGCAAAUCUUCAACGUGGAUGAAUCUUAGCAUCGUCUGACUGCAGUCAAAUAUCCAGACUGCAGAGAGGAAGACAGAUCGACAGCAGGGCAGAGAUGAAGACUGCUAAUGACACCAUGCACUGCAGCGGGAGGAGAGACUGGCUGCUGAUAUUGGCUGUUGAGACGCGUGUCUAAACCUGCGCCCUCAUCUCAGACUGCGGCUGGCAUAUUAUCCAGGAUGAGGACAGUAAUAAAUGAGUCGCUGUCCCGCUGCAUCAUGCAGGAAGUCUCGCUCAAGGUGAUUCCACGAUUCUUCAGUUUUCCGCUCUCCAGAAGGAUUUCCGUGAUUUAUGAAAUGCUCCAGUUCGGGUAGGAAAAGGACACAGAGGACAGGAAGGAGGGGGAUUAUAAUGACAUCACAUAGGCAAGGCUAGAACACUAUGAUCUAGCGAUGAGUGAUAGCAUUUAUUAUCUUUUCUAUCUGACACCAAGUACUUUCAAGACCAAUUUUGAUAGCAAUACUGAUAUCUCUAUUAAACAGAAAAUCUGAGAUUUCUGUGAGGAAAAAAAGGGUGAUUAAAAGCUUUCAUUAAUAUUAAAUAAAACAAACAAAGAAACAAAUCACGUUUCUUCAAAGCUCUAUAACUUUUCUUCUGUGGAACACAAAAGAAGAUAUUUAGAACAACGUGCAAGCUGCUCUUUUCUAUAUAAUGAAAAUCAAUGGGGAAGCUACUCCUGGUCCAAAAAGAGAAGCUUGAACAUGAUUUCAACAAGUGCGACAUGUUCUUGGAUCAACAACUUUGUUGAUCCUGGAACAACAAUCCAAUCAACCAAUCAGAUUUGAGGGACAAGUUUACAGUUUAUGUCAAGUUUAGGCUUACAGGGUUAGGUGCUUCUAAAUCAGUGUUAUUCAGCGAUCAUUUCCCUCUGAUUCUAGAGACAACUUAUGGGUGGGGUUAUGUUUAGGGAUAGGGAUAGGAUCAAUUUUUUGAAAGGAAUGUUGUUCCAGGAUCAACAAAAUAUGUUGACCCAAGAACGCAUUUAACUUGGCAAAAUCAGGAUGUGCCAAUGGCACACUGCUCUGACCCACUUCAACCACUAGUAUGAAAGUAUACAAUUAUAACUUAAGUGUAAAUACAUUAAUGUUGCUCAGAGGUGGCAUAAAACAGUCUAUGUCAAGACACCUAAAUGCCACUUCAGAAGCACUUCUGUGCCACCUUUUGAGUAUAAAUUUAGCAAUACAGGUUCAAAAUGACAUGGUGGGAAAAUAAAUGAUUACAUUAUUUUCAUUUUAGGGUGAAUUAUCCCUUUAAAUAAGGCUAAGCUGCAAAUUAUCAGACAUUAUGAUUAAAAUAUACUAAAUGGAACAAAGUUUUUAGUCCAAAGGAAUGGAAGAAGGAAACGGCAUUAUCUUCACAUUAAACUUUUUGAUAUACCCAAUUUUCAGGGUAAAUAAAUAAUCAAGAAAAUGAUUAUUAAAAGCACCUCACUAUCAAUAUUAUUACAUAAGGAUACACCCAUCCAAACAAUCCACACAUGCUCCAAUCAAUAUGUUUAAAACACAUGAAAGCACUUACUGAGCUGCCAAUCUCAGUAAUCUUUGCACUGUAUAGGAGAAAUGCUCUGUGGGCUUCAACAUAGGCAAAGAAGAUCAUCCGCACUGCACCUGUUGAUAUUCAGGUUGCUAUAAUGCCUCUGUCAUUUAGUUGAAUAAUCUGUGCAUGUGAAGGAAAUAAUCCAGGGUAAUGCAGGUCAGGGUAAUCUGGGGUGGUUAUAUUGGGCAAAUAAUCUCACCGCAUCAAUGUGCUGAGUAAACCCAAAUGUUUCUGCUCUGUAAUCUUCAACGAGUUGAGUUAAAUGGAAGCUCUGAGAAAUUAAAUGUUAUAGGCUUACGUGACAGUUACCCCUUAACUGUUACCUCCAUUUUUGAGCAUAGACGUGAAAAUGCACUAUCCAAACUUAAAUCAUUGUAAUUCAAGAAUGCUUUGGAAUAUAGACCAAAGUUUGGUCUUGUUUUAAAGAAGGCACUCAGCAGAUUGUUGCUAAAGUAAAAACACUUUUAAAAAAAUGAAAGUAUGUUAUAGAAGUUUAAAUUUACUGUAAAUCAAAUGUAUAUAAAAUAAAUAAUAUUGUAUAAUAAUUAUAUAAAAUACAUUUUACAAAAUAUUUUUACUCUAAAAUUGAUAUAAAAUCAAAGCCAUACAGGUUUACAAAGCUAACCCAAGUUGUGUUCCAAAUUUAAAGUUGAUAUCACAAUUCAAGUUCCCAUGAGAUUUUGUUUAGCCACCGUGUCACCAAAGACUAUAGAAUAACACAAGACGUGUCACUCGUAUUGUUUUGAAUGGGAGAAAGUGUAACGCGCAAUAUGGCGGAAUAAGUCCCGCCUUCUAAUUAAGAGCCAAUCGCCGACUGGUAAAGUCUUCGCAUCACUUCAGUGGCCUUUAGAAUCACCGGUUUCUAUAGAAACAGUCAGACGCGCGCCUCCAAAGAGACGCGCAUUUAGGUCUGCGCAUGCGCAUUAGCUUGAUCCAGCCUGAAAAAUACAGUUUUUUUGU
This is a long non-coding RNA of Megalobrama amblycephala (Wuchang bream), 2591 nucleotides long. RefSeq lists it as uncharacterized. The transcript is spliced from 3 exons. Lineage: Eukaryota; Metazoa; Chordata; Actinopteri; Cypriniformes; Xenocyprididae. The record is from RefSeq and is a predicted model, not a curated record.